ACUAUAAGUUUAACAAAUCUCUCACCUUGUCCAUGGAGGGCAGAAGAAAAUGUAUAUAUGCUGAUUAGCAUUGUAAAUGUGUGGCCACGUCUGUGGUAGAAAAAAAAGCUAUAAAAUGGUGUACACAAAGUGUAAUUGCUCCCCCAUUCCUUCUCCAUAGUCUAUGAUCUAUCUAUACCUUGUGUUGGUUCCAGGAAUCAAUGCCCCUGCAGCCCAGUCUCUGGCCAGGCCUCAUGGUUGGUGGUCUGGUCAACCUGGUAUCCUUUGUAGGUCUUUUAUCAAGUUGAGCACAGUUAGAGAUUGGCUGGUUAUGUCUCUUAUAAGUUGAGGGAGAGUAUUGAAAGGUCUUGGUCCAUUAAUGUUGAUAGAAUUUUCUCUUGGUGUACCUUUUACUCCUCUGCUCUUUAACAGGGAUUUGGGCAGUUAUAUAUGGCUUCUUUUUUGUGCCCAGCACAUGCCCACUUGGGGUAUUACCUGGGGUCUGACGAGUCGAAUGAAAUCCCUUAUUCAACAAAUAGGUCACCCCAUAUGGAUCAUUAAAGCAAGGACAUGCUGUAUUACUCUUUGGGUUCUGUUCAUUGGGAAAUUGAAAAUCCAUCUUCCUACUUUGUCGGUCUUGCUAGUAUUCUUUGUCAUAUGACACUUAGACAUUUGUUGAAGUCUCUUAUUUGCCCUAGUAGUUCAGCAUCAUCAGCAAAUGUAUUCAUAUACUGUAACUCUGUAUCCUCCCCUGGUGCAUUGUCUGUGAUUAUCACCCUCAUUUUUUGGUCAAAAUUGUUCAUUCAUGCUGUAAGCCUGUCGGUUUUUCCAGCAUUUUCCAGCCUCCAGAUCUUUUUUUUGGGGGGGGGACUCAAAAACUUUAACUCUAGAUAAAUGCAGUAAAUCCGCCCAUCUCUUUCCUGUAAGAUCUCUGUGGUUCUAUCAUAAAAACUAACUAGAUUUGUUACACAGUAAAUUUGUUGCAAUAUUGUGUGCAAUAAGACCAUGGUCACAUUUGUUAACAGCUUUCUCAAAUUCUAUGUACUGUAUGUUACAUCACCAUUUUGCUCGUCAACCAUGGCAUCUAAAGCCAUCCUGCCAAUCACACGACAUAACUAUGACGUUGCUACAACAUUUGAACAAGUUUGUAACAACUUUCUAACAUGUCAUAAAAACUUUAUAACAAUAUGUAAGAACUUUGUAACAUGGUAACAAUAGGGACUGUUACGUUGUGUGUAUGUAGGGAUGUCAUAGUGAUCUAACAGCUCUGAUGGGCAGGAGCCCCAUGCUCUAAACCCAAGGUGUCUAGGGUUAUGUAAACAUUGUGACUCCAUGUGCUUUGUGACCUUACUUCUUAUUCUUAGCACCACUACAAAGAUUUUUUUGAUGUGUGAUGUUAGUGCUAUGGGGUUUAUAAUUUUUGGCAUCUUCUCUGCUACCUCAUUUGUGGAGUGUUAUGAUUUCUCCUGUUUUAAAUGUGUUGGGAUAACACCAAAAUCUAGGCUCAGUCUCCAAAUGUUGUUUAGGGCCUGUGACAGUAGUUUUCUGUUCAAAGCCCUGGUGGCCUCCUGAAGCUAUGUUGCUAAUGUAGCUUCCCAGUACUUAGCCACAUCAGUCAUAGGAGUCUUAUUGGCCUCUUUGAAGAGGCACAGAGAGCACAGAAUUGUUAUGAUGACUCACCAAGAAAGCACCCAGAAAGCAGCUGAAAAAUACAAAACAACUGCUUGAUUCAUGAAAACAAAGCACUGAAACAGCCAACAGAUACUGUACCACACACGAAUUGCUAAAAAAAAAUGGUUCGUAUGAGACUGAAUUUGAAACAACUACCCCAGUGUGCAUGUGCAAAGCCUCCAGCUGACGGUGAAGGUGGUGUUAUUUAUUUCAUAUUCAAUCCAUUGUUGAUAUACCACAAACUGACGCACUUGGUAGGGGGCGGAAGAGUCACGGGGCCACUGGGGUUCACUCAGAUAGGGGCAUUUUGGUGGAGGCACUGUUUGUGCCUCCGCUGAAGAAGAAUUAGUGGCACUCAAGUAGCAAUGAAUCACAGCUAUCAGACAUAUCAAAUAUUGCACCCUUGGCGAGACAAACCAAGCAUCGUUUACUGAGGGACCCCUCUGGAAGCCAACAAUCUGUCAGAAAAGGAGAUGGCGGCAGGUGAAGAAACCACCCACCAGGGUCAAAAGAACAGAACCCAUGCCUUUGGAGGAGAGCAGAAAGUUCCUAAAUCCAACAACCAGAGGCAAACGCCAACCAAAAACUGCUGAAGAAAAAGAAAAAUAUCCUGGAUCGAAUCAAAGGGUCACCUUUGAACCGAGGGGAAAGGAAGAAAUACCAACACCUGAUCUAGAGACCAAAAAGGCUCAGGGAGAGAAUGGGCUGACCUGAGGUGAAAGAAAACCCAAGACAACUUGUGAAACAGCACUGAGGAAAAAUCGAUGCUGAAUGCUAAUGAAUGCGUCUCAAAGGAUCACCAUGCACAAGUGUGUCUCCAAUCUUGACAACUCUCGGAGCAUCAUCUGAACCAGGAAAAAGAGGCCGCCACCAGUGGACCAGCGGGUCUUCGGCCGCCCAACUGCUACCCUUGCUCAGUUUGCGGCCGGAUGUUUGGCAAGCGGCACCAUCUUAAAGACCACAUGUACACCCACACAGGGGAGCGACCGUUUCCUUGUCCUGUUUGUGGUAUGGGGUUCUCUCAGAAGUCCAAUAUGAGGAGACAUGUUCGUUCCACACACCCGGAAGUGAAGUACCUGUUGGAGAGA
Procambarus clarkii (red swamp crayfish) is the source of this 2738-nucleotide non-coding RNA. The record is from RefSeq and is a predicted model, not a curated record. NCBI's taxonomy places the organism in Eukaryota, Metazoa, Arthropoda, Malacostraca, Decapoda, Cambaridae.